UCUCAUUUCAGAAGAGGGAUUUCCAAAUCCCUCUUUCGAACGACGCCCGAGCUCUGCUUGGUUUCUCAUUUUCUUCUUCCGUCGGUGGGUGAGCUCCGAAUCUUUGAAGGAUUUCAGGCAUAUCUCUCCUGCCGUUGCUUGAUUUUGCAGUAACAAUGGCAGCACUGCUCGGUAUUCCUUUUCCUUUUAGAAGGUGCAUCAUAAGGAUCUUGUCAAUGUUAACUAGUAGUGAUAAUAUUAUAGUUCUACAUUUGGCAUUGUUGUAAGCCUGUUGGAGUAGACAGGGUCCAGUUGUAUUUCAAACAGUUCCUCUCCUUCGUUUAGAUAAUGUUUCAUACAUUCUCCUCACACCACAGAGGCUGAGGGUAUGAGGAAUCAAUACACUGGCACCUUCACAUCACAUGUUUAAUUUGUGAUCGAUAUUUAUUAAA
Magnolia sinica is the source of this 431-nucleotide long non-coding RNA. RefSeq lists it as uncharacterized. The transcript has 2 exons. NCBI's taxonomy places the organism in Eukaryota, Viridiplantae, Streptophyta, Magnoliopsida, Magnoliales, Magnoliaceae. The record is from RefSeq and is a predicted model, not a curated record.